Molecule: long non-coding RNA, 3693 nt
Organism: Esox lucius (northern pike)
Lineage: Eukaryota; Metazoa; Chordata; Actinopteri; Esociformes; Esocidae
Source: Ensembl
CAGACUGAUAUAUUUCUAAUGUUUAUCUAUUUUAAUUGUGAUGAUUAUAACCGACAACUAAUGAAAAUCCCAAAUUCAGUAUCUCAGAAAAUUAGAAUAUUACUUAAGACCAAUACAAAAAAAGGAUUUUUAGAAAUGUUGGCCAACUAAAAAGUAUGAACAUGAAAAGUAUGAGCAUGUACAGCACUCAAUACUUAGUUGGGGCUGCUUUUGCCUGAAUUACUGCAACAAUGCGGCGUGGCAUGGAGUCGAUCAGUCUGUGGCACUGCUCACCCAGAUAGCAAAAAAUAUCCGCACAGCUUCUUUUUGCCGCCGGCCCUAAGCUGUCGGCUAUAGGUGCGUCCUGCUGGCGGGGAUGAAACGUUUGCCACCGAAUACGUCACUCCCAUUUCUUGCGAGAUGCCGCCAGCGGUCCGACUGCUUAAUUUUCUUUGGCGGUUGCCUCGGUCUAAAGGACCACGGUCGUCCGGCGGCAAGACGCUUUUAAAUACAAGGCUACUCUCAAAAUCGACCGGCCAAUGGUUUUGCAUGUUGGGAGUUAAGUGGAACUGACGGCAUUUUUACUACUUUUCACAUUUGAAGCGAUUAUAAAAUCCUAAUAUAUAAUAUGUGAAUUAUAUCAAAUAGUUUUUUUCUCCAAAGCAUAGGGUUUAUUACAGAUUAAAACAGAUUACUAGGGUUUAUAACAUGAUUCCAUGAGAGGUAAGGUUUAGGAAAUUACAUUUAAAUGACUUUGAAACUCUGAAGCGAUUAUACAGUAAUAUAUGUAAAAUAUAUCGAAUUAUUUUAAGCACUUAGGGGGAAAUUGUUUACAUUUAUUUGAUUUAGGCACAAUUAGACAUGCUCCUGGACCCGUCUCUACUGUUGAUGAUGCAUUGGAGUCACUGAGGCUGGCCCCUCCCGUAACAAUAAAACUAGAGUACAUUCGCUUCAGUUCGAUCAAUCGCGAGUUACUACAGCCUUCAGUUGUUAGCUAGCAAAUUCAUCGACAUCGACUACCAGCUUUUAAAUACCUUGACCAGAGAAUAACCCGUUAUCUUCACCCAAGAGACUUACUGUUGGGCUAUCAUUUUGGCGUUAAAGGUAAAUGUCUAACAAUGUCUAGUUACUGGGCCAAAAGGAGAAGAAUAUUGAAAGGAGUUGAGAGGGACAAACAGGAAAUUGCAGCUGCAAACAAUGCUCUAUUUGCUAUUAUUCCCGACUUACUCCCGACUGACCAAGUAAAUCCUCAUGGAAUGGCUACAACAAGCCAUGUACAAACUGUAACCCCUGAAGCACAGGAAACACUUGUUGAUGAGGUAUAUGAACCAGGUGAAAUGUUUUCCUCAAGCACAGAAGAUAGUGAAGAGGAAGAGGAUUGCCUAAGGACACAAUUGGCAGGGAGGGCUAUUGACAACAUGAUCCCCCAUCAUGAAGGGAUGCUGUUUGCCAUUGUUCAGUUUAUUGAUGAGGGGGAUCUGCCGUUUGCAGUGGUUCCGCAAGUGUGGCUCAGCGAGGGCAUGUGCUAUUGGUCCCCAUUUAACCUCCGCAAAAAGGACAAAGGCAACAAUUUAGCCAUCCGCUGCACGCCUCCACACAGCACCUGGGAGAAACAUUUUAAGUUCAUGAAGGGAGCAGAAUCUUGGAAAGAGGUGACAAGAUAUUUGAUGCGCUUCCAAACAGGUUCCUGCGUUGAAACGACGGAUGAUGACAAGAAGGGAAAGCGAAAGAGAAUUUCAAACUCUAAGUACAGACCCCAGGCCUCUUCUGAUAAAGAGGAGUCUUGUCUUCCAGAUGCACCAGCAGUGCUCUCGUUUCGACAACCUCUUUUGAACUUGGAAAACAUUGUUCCCGGUAAUGUUUCAGUGCUGCCCGAUGCUCCAGAAGUUUCAUUGGUUCAAGAAAACCAGGAAAAUGUGGAGCCAUCUGUAGACUUCAGAGCUGUUCGUCAAGUACUAAAAUUUACACCCCCAGCAAAAAAUUUACCCUGGCAGCAAAUGGGUGAAAAGGCUGGAGGAGAAAGUCAUCGCUCCGUUAUUGGCCCUUGGACUCCCCUGGCAUCGCAUGUACAGCAUGAAGUUUUCAGCAAUGAAGAUUUCCAGAACGAGAACCAAGCCGUGAGGGAGGAGAACCAAGCCGUGAGGGAGGAGAACCAAGCCCUGAGGGGAAGCCAUGCACGAGCAGCUUCGGAUGACAGCGGCUCGCUUCAAGAGCAGGUGAAGCAAUUUGGGACAAUGCUGAAGACGUUUGCUCGCACUGGGCAAUCAGAUCAGACCCUAGUGCUGUGACGUCUUGGAGAGUUUGGCGAUGUUGUGCGUAGCAUGGAAAACUAUGCUGCAACAUUUCAGUGCCAAUGUGUCUGUUGGAGAGCUAUCCCUGCCCAGGGGAUCUGUUACUCCCCCUAGACACCCAGGAAGAUUUGGUGUUUCUUGAGAGCAUUUUGAGGCAGGAUAAAGAGCUCCAGGAACGAUUUCUUCGGUUUUUGGCUAUCAAAUGUGGGAGGGACCUGAAGACAACAGUGUGGAGAAUGCUUCAGAGUAUCUUCUCUAAUAACCUUGCCGUUAAUACAACCUGGACUGGUAUAGGGGAUAAAACAUGUUUUAGAGACCUGUUCCUGAAGACCAUUGUUCAAAGGGCCCUCCGGAAGAGUCCGGCAACCCAGGAUGACACUGAUGAGGCGGUCCAGGUUAACGUAACACGUUACCUGAAAGGAGCAUCAGACCGUGAAGGAGGAAAAAGCUGCACAGCUGAGAAGGACCCACAGCCGACCCCUUAAACCUAGGCUGACUACUGACACCCCAGCAUCACUGAACUGGAACACUUUCUUUAUCCUGCAGUCAGUAACAUCAAGAAGCCAGAAGUGCCAGACUACACUCACCAAAUCCACCCUGUUUUCUUUUGUAUUUUAACUUUAGUAUUGGCUUAUUCCAUUCCGUCUUAACGAUUCUAUUAUAGUUUGUAAAUCCUAUUUCAUACCUGUUACUUGAUAUUGCACAUUAACUGGUACCAACAUUCUACUUUCAUUUCAUCACUGUGCUUAACUGUUAUUCAAUUAAUAAUAGCUUGGAAAUACUAUUUCGUACCUCUGAUACUUGAUAUUGCACAUUACCUGGUACCAAAUAUUCUACUUACUCUGUUUUUAACAUCAGCAUUUUUCAUUCCAUCACAGUGCUUAACUGUUAUUCUAUUGUUAAAUAUAGCUUGUAAAUCCUUGUGCCACAGGUCAGCAUUGCAGUUAUAAUGGUCUGUUCUACUACUGUUUUUACCUCUGUAUUUUUAUAUAUGUAUGUCAAGUUUUGUUUAUCACAGAUACAAGAGACACAUCUUAAUGCAGCAUGGUGUAAAUCUUGUGCUCCAGGUCAGCAAUGCCAUUAUAAUGGAAUAUUCUAGAGCUUUACUCAAUGGCUUGAAAAUGUGAUGUUCUACCUCGUUUUAUUUGGUAUCCUGCACAUUCUUUGGUACCAAAUAUCCUCAUUACUUGUUAUGUUUACUGGUAAUUAUUUUCAUCCCAGAGCUGACCUCUAUAUUAUUAACAAUUAUUGUGUUUGUGUUAUAAUUUGCUUGUAUGGCUGUUUUUUUUUUUUAACCAACAUUUUAUUGGAAACCUGCAUGUUCUGUAGUGUGUAUUUAUAUGUUUAUUUUUUUCUGCCUAUUAUUUAUUUCAGUGAUCUGACACAUCUUGUUUGAAUGACCGUUACUGUACUUUGAAAUGUG